This 105-nucleotide non-coding RNA is filed under the name Oscillospiraceae bacterium. RNAcentral's name for it is "Ruminococcaceae bacterium TPP sequence". It matches the Rfam family "TPP riboswitch aptamer (THI element)". Rfam says of the family: Vitamin B(1) in its active form thiamin pyrophosphate (TPP) is an essential coenzyme that is synthesised by coupling of pyrimidine and thiazole moieties in bacteria. The previously detected thiamin-regulatory element, thi box was extended, resulting in a new, highly conserved RNA secondary structure, the THI element, which is widely distributed in eubacteria and also occurs in some archaea. The record is from RNAcentral. Lineage: Bacteria; Bacillati; Bacillota; Clostridia; Eubacteriales; Oscillospiraceae.
AAAUAUACACACGGGAGCUUGCAGAAAGGCUGAGAGGAAGGUGUGCCCUUCGACCGUUAACCUGAUUUGGGUAAUGCCAACGUAGGGACGCUAGUAUCAUAUAGU